Molecule: long non-coding RNA, 755 nt
Organism: Ictalurus punctatus (channel catfish)
Lineage: Eukaryota; Metazoa; Chordata; Actinopteri; Siluriformes; Ictaluridae
Source: Ensembl
GAAGGAGGCGUGGCCUCUGUGCAUCAGUCUCAGUGAAGGAGGCGUGGCCUCUGUGUGUCAGUCUCAGUGAAGGAGGCGUGGCAUCAGUGUAUCAGUCUCAGUGAAGGAGGCGUGGCCUCUGUGCACUAGUCUCAGUGAAGGAGGCGUGGCCUCUGUGCACUAGUCUCAGUGAAGGAGGCGUGGCCUCUGUGCACUAGUCUCAGUGAAGGAGGCGUGGCCUCUGUGCACUAGUCUCAGUGAAGGAGGCGUGGCCUCUGUGCACCAGUCUCAGUGAAGGAGGCGUGGCAUCAGUGCGUCAGUCUCAGUGAAGGAGGCGUGGCAUCAGUGCGUCAGUCUCAGUGAAGGAGGCGUGGCCAUCCACCUUCUUAAAGUGAGCAGAAUAAAUGACACGAUGUUGAUAAUGAGCUGAUCUCAGGUUAAUUCCCAAAAUAUUCAUAUGUUGCCCUUUAGUUGUAAUUGUCCACGCUCCAGGCUGGGGCCGAGUUCUGAGGUCUGACCGCAGUCAGCAGUAUGGACUUCCUGUAGCACUUCCUGUUUUGCUGGAUCACACCGAAGAGGUCCUGUGUGGAAAAAGCGGAGUGUCUGUGCUCCUCUCUGCUCUCGUCUUUGGGAAUAUGUUUUAGUUUUAAGAUGAAAGCACAGCCUGGAUUUGUUUCGUGGAGCUUUUAAACGAGCGCGUGACUCUCUCUGAACACGGGGAGGAAGUCGUGGAUGUGUGUUUGAUGCUUUGCUGUUUUGUGUGGUUUCCUCUGCAG